AUUGAACGCUAGCGGGAUGCUUUACACAUGCAAGUCGAACGGCAGCGCGGACUUCGGUCUGGCGGCGAGUGGCGAACGGGUGAGUAAUGUAUCGGAACGUCCCCAGUAGCGGGGGAUAACUACGCGAAAGCGUAGCUAAUACCGCAUACGCCCUACGGGGGAAAGCAGGGGAUCGUAAGACCUUGCACUAUUGGAGCGGCCGAUAUCGGAUUAGCUAGUUGGUGAGGUAACGGCUCACCAAGGCGACGAUCCGUAGCUGGUUUGAGAGGACGACCAGCCAAACUGGGACUGAGACACGGCCCAGACUCCUACGGGAGGCAGCAGUGGGGAAUUUUGGACAAUGGGGGCAACCCUGAUCCAGCCAUCCCGCGUGUGCGAUGAAGGCCUUCGGGUUGUAAAGCACUUUUGGCAGGAAAGAAACGUCGCGGGCUAAUACCCCGUGGAACUGACGGUACCUGCAGAAUAAGCACCGGCUAACUACGUG
Molecule: ribosomal RNA, 484 nt
Filed under: uncultured bacterium
Lineage: Bacteria
Description: partial 16S ribosomal RNA
Rfam family: Bacterial small subunit ribosomal RNA
Source: RNAcentral